This 746-nucleotide long non-coding RNA is filed under the name Lathyrus oleraceus (garden pea). RNAcentral describes it as "Pisum sativum (pea) long non-coding RNA (PSAT_LNC008434)". Lineage: Eukaryota; Viridiplantae; Streptophyta; Magnoliopsida; Fabales; Fabaceae. The record is from RNAcentral.
UUUGUUAGUGUAUUUUAAAUUUUCGGUAUGUUAUAAUUAAUUUCAGAAAUUUGAAAUUUAUUAAUUGAUAUCGAAAAUUUUAAUCAAAGUGAAAUUUUUGGUAGUGUUAUUUGAAAUUUUAAAUGCUCAGGAUUUUGUUGACAGUUUUGGAUGGUUGUGAUUGCGCCGACAAUUUUGAGUGUUCCAGAGUAAAUGCAAAGUUGUAUAAAUAGGGGAGUGACAUGUUGUUUGAUAAAAACAUCUCAAAAAAUGCAUAUUCCUCAAUUUUUGAUUAUGUCAGAAGUGUACUUCAACGGAGCUUCACCUCCCGUAGAGCUCCGACCUCUAAAUGACACCACAUCUCUCGCCGAACUAACGUCUAAGUUGAAUGAAUUGUUGCCCGAUACCAAAAACAAAAAGGUGAGAAAGAUCGAGUUUAGUGAAGAUUGAAUUGAUACUGACAGGAGGGUGAAAUACAACUUUAUUGGGUUGAAGACAAAUGAAGAUGUGAAGGAUAUGUGGAGAUCAUUUCGCCGUAGAAUAAUAAAGGGGUUGAUCGAGUUAGAUGCUAAGAUUUCAAAGUUUGUCGACGACAUAUUGAAGAUGAUGAAACAUCCAGAAUCAUCUGGUAGUGUAUAAGUUUUCUUAUUUAUCGUCUUUUUUAAGUUAUGAUUAAGUUAUGUAAUCGUUUAUCAAAUGUUAGUUUAUGUUUAUGUUGCAUGAAUGGAAGAUCAAAAAUAUUAUCUAAUAAAAAAGUUUCUGAUGAA